RNAcentral lists this long non-coding RNA (210 nucleotides) under Vigna radiata. RNAcentral's name for it is "long non-coding RNA (VRAD_LNC000805)". Lineage: Eukaryota; Viridiplantae; Streptophyta; Magnoliopsida; Fabales; Fabaceae. The record is from RNAcentral.
AGGAGAAUACACUUCUGAAGAAACUCAACUAGUAGCAGAGAAGAUUGUUAGAAACUCAUAACAAGCCUAAUUUUAAUUUUAAUGUCUUCAAUCAUGUUUUUUGGCAUGUAUUAUGUAAUAGAUGGAUAAAACACUAUUUUUUUCAGGAUGACUUAGUAGAAAAAAGAUCUCAAGGAUCAUUCACUCAAGAAGGCCGAGAUGACAUACUAG